UACGAAGGGUGCAAGCGUUAUUCGGAAUCAUUGGGCGUAAAGGGUGUGUAGACGGUAUGUUAAGUCUGUUGUUAAAUGCCCCAGCUCAACUGGGGAUCUGCGGUGGAAACUAACAUGCUAGAGGGUGGAAGAGAGAAGUGGAAUUCUCGGAGUAGCGGUAAAAUGCGUAGAUCUCGAGAGGAACACCAAUGGCGAAGGCAGCUUCUUGGUCCAUACCUGACGUUGAAACACGAAAGCGUGGGGAGCAAACAGG
This 253-nucleotide ribosomal RNA is filed under the name uncultured prokaryote. RNAcentral describes it as "partial 16S ribosomal RNA". It matches the Rfam family "Bacterial small subunit ribosomal RNA", at positions 524 to 776 of the family's 1533-position model. The record is from RNAcentral.